This is a long non-coding RNA of Lingula anatina, 527 nucleotides long. RefSeq lists it as uncharacterized. NCBI's taxonomy places the organism in Eukaryota, Metazoa, Brachiopoda, Lingulata, Lingulida, Lingulidae. The record is from RefSeq and is a predicted model, not a curated record.
UAGUACCGGAAGCGUUGUUGACAGCGAUAGGAACACAUGAUGGAAGCAUAAGACAUGCCGGGGCGAUAUUAAACUGGCCAUUUGAGGCGACAACGGUGCCGGAGUUGAAAAGUUGGUUAAAAUGUAGGAAUGCCCGCACAUCAGGCAAAAAAGAAGAGCCAUUAAAAAGGUGAAAACUGUACAGUGAGGCUAGAGAGAGAAACAAAAUAUUGGAUCCAGACGGCAGAGAAAAUUAGAAGUAGACCUACCAGAUUGAAGUUUGAAUCAAGACCGUGGAGAAUGGACCAAGUCCUUGAAAGGAAUUCCCAAACCGUUUUUUUUUUAAAUAUUUGCCUAUUAAUAAAUACAAUUCAAUAUUUUGUUUCACAUUUUUAUUUUGCAUAAUAAAACCAAUGAUGUUGCCUUGGAAAUAUCUUUCCAAGGUACCUUACGAUAUUUCUGAUUCAUGUUUUAAAAUGCAAUGUUUUAAACAUUUUCUAGAUAUGUUCAAGUGCAUUGUGAUAAUAAAAAUGAGAUAUUUGGUAAAA